GAGACAUCUUUUCGUGUUUAGGAAUGUUUUUCUUGCUGAUCUGGUGGGUGGAAAAUGGACACCCCAGAAGACUGUGGCGAUCCGUUUUCAUGAACAUGAGGCAUCAGUUCCUGGCAUCUUGGCAAAAGUCCAAGAUGCUGUUGCAGAAGAUGGUAUGAUACUGACUGAUGGCCAGGGGAAUGAAAUCCUUGAUACAGAAGGAGCAAAAGGGUCAACGUACUGGAAGUAAAAUUCUAGGAAGGUUUUUGCUGUGCCAGAACAACAGUUCUUGGAGAUGAGAUCCAAAAGGAGAAGAUUAAGCCAACAGGAUGAGGACAGCCAGCUACCAGAGGU
Sinocyclocheilus rhinocerous is the source of this 333-nucleotide long non-coding RNA. RefSeq lists it as uncharacterized. NCBI's taxonomy places the organism in Eukaryota, Metazoa, Chordata, Actinopteri, Cypriniformes, Cyprinidae. The transcript is spliced from 3 exons. The record is from RefSeq and is a predicted model, not a curated record.